GACGACGUUGAUAGGCCGGGUGUGUAAGCGCAGCGAUGCGUUGAGCUAACCGGUACUAAUGAACCGUGAGGCUUAACCUUACAACGCCGAAGCUGUUUUG
This 100-nucleotide ribosomal RNA is filed under the name Escherichia coli O5:K4(L):H4 str. ATCC 23502. RNAcentral's name for it is "Large Subunit Ribosomal RNA; lsuRNA; LSU rRNA". The stretch from base 1 to 80 matches the Rfam family "Bacterial large subunit ribosomal RNA", at positions 2846 to 2925 of the family's 2925-position model. The record is from RNAcentral. Lineage: Bacteria; Pseudomonadati; Pseudomonadota; Gammaproteobacteria; Enterobacterales; Enterobacteriaceae.